Molecule: ribosomal RNA, 408 nt
Filed under: uncultured bacterium
Lineage: Bacteria
Description: partial 16S ribosomal RNA
Rfam family: Bacterial small subunit ribosomal RNA
Source: RNAcentral
GACGAACGCUGGCGGCGUGCUUAACACAUGCAAGUCGAACGAAGUGGCGAACGGGUGAGUAACGCGUAAUUAACCUGCCCUUCAGAGGGGGACAACAGUUGGAAACGACUGCUAAUACCGCAUACUGAAGGAGGGGAUUGCGUCUGAUUUGCUAGGUGGAGGGGUAACGGCCAACCAAGGCGAUGAUCAGUAGCCGGGCUUGAAGGGUGAACGGCCACAUUGGGACUGAGACCCGGCCCAGACUCCUCCGGGAGGCAGCAGGUGGGAAACUUCCGACAUUGACGGAAGGCUUACGGAACAAAUCCGCGUGAGUGAUGACGGCCCUCGGGUUGUAAAGCUCUGUUAAUCGGGACGCGGUACCGGAAUAGAAAGCCACGGCUAACUACGUGCCAGCCGCCGCGGUAAUUC